AGAGUUUGAUCCUGGCUCAGGAUGAACGCUGGCGGCGUGCUUAACACAUGCAAGUCGAACGGAGUGCUUCGGCACUUAGUGGCGGACGGAUGAGUAACGCGUGAGAAUCUACCUUCAGGUCUGGGACAACAGUUGGAAACGACUGCUAAUACCGGAUGUGCCGAGAGGUGAAAGGCUUGCUGCCUGAAGAAGAGCUCGCGUCGGAUUAGCUAGUUGGUGGGGUAAGGGCCUACCAAGGCGACGAUCCGUAGCUGGUCUGAGAGGAUGAUCAGCCACACUGGGACUGAGACACGGCCCAGACUCCUACGGGAGGCAGCAGUGGGGAAUUUUCCGCAAUGGGCGAAAGCCUGACGGAGCAACGCCGCGUGAGGGAGGAAGGCUCUUGGGUUGUAAACCUCUUUUGUCAGGGAAGAAGAACUGACGGUACCGACGAAUCAG
This 438-nucleotide ribosomal RNA is filed under the name uncultured bacterium. RNAcentral's name for it is "bacterial SSU rRNA". It matches the Rfam family "Bacterial small subunit ribosomal RNA", at positions 8 to 490 of the family's 1533-position model. The record is from RNAcentral.